RNAcentral lists this long non-coding RNA (625 nucleotides) under Salmo salar (Atlantic salmon). RNAcentral's name for it is "lncRNA (ENSSSAG00000082118.1, ENSSSAG00020079311.1, ENSSSAG00075054141.1)". The record is from RNAcentral. Lineage: Eukaryota; Metazoa; Chordata; Actinopteri; Salmoniformes; Salmonidae.
CAAUGAGGAGAUGAGAAAUGCAGGACUUGCAGCGAGAUCUAUUUUAGCCCGUGCAAUAAUUGAAUAACAUAGAUUUCUAAAUUUAUUUUUGCAACGCUCGCGUGAGGCUACUGUUUGGAACCACCAGGAUGCGUGGCAUCAGAACAUUCCAGGCAUUCCCGUGAUUGGCAGGUAGUAGGUUAAUUGGCAGGUCGGACCCCGCGAACACUGGGUACUGGUUAGCAUUGAAGAGUUUUCCCCCACAGCCAGGAUGACCAAGUGCCCACACUUUGACAGGAACAUUCUGUGUCCACCAUCAACACAGGAGCUGGGGGACCUGAUGGAGGAGGCUCGCAUGCGCAUCCUGAAGGCACAGGUAGUGGUUCUACACACCUCACUAUUUCAAGUCCUGACCAGGCUUAAUUGAGAGGGAGAAAGAGGGAGCAGGAUGGCGGAUCAAGGCUGUGUACCUUUAGAGCAACUAUCUUCUUAGAUAGAACCAUCAAAGGAAAUGGGACACAUCAGCAAAUACUAAUGAUUGGGGGAAAAAAGGAAUGGGAUGUAACUACCAUUCCAUUGUACCCCAUAAAAGCCAGAGAAGGGAUAUAAGUGACUGCUCAAAGUAGGGGACCUAAAUGUGUUCUGG